Long non-coding RNA from Scleropages formosus (Asian bonytongue), 3720 nucleotides. Lineage: Eukaryota; Metazoa; Chordata; Actinopteri; Osteoglossiformes; Osteoglossidae. The record is from Ensembl.
AUGGGUUUCUACAGAGGACAGACGGGGCACAGCCAACAUGAGUACUAUCAGAGCCAGACCUACUCACAAUCUGUGAACCCCUACUCGUACCACCAGUUUAAACCCGAACGGAAUGGGGGGGCCUGGGGGCCUACCCCACAAAGUCAGAAUACACCUACAGUAACUCAUACAAGCAAUACGGACAUUAUAAACAGGGAGCUGCAGGCACCACCCCAGGACACUGGUAAGUCUGAACUUUCCACAAAUAUAAACCCAUGUAGGGCUGGUUUAAGGAAAACUGAAUAUGUUUUGCUGGUGUUGAAAGCUCAUAUUAAAGAUUACAUUAUCAUAGUCUACAUGGGUUUAUAUUUGUGGAAAGUUCAGACUUACCAGUGUCCUGGGGUGGUGCCUGCAGCUCCCUGUUUAUAAUGUCCGUAUUGCUUGUAUGAGUUACUGUAGGUGUAUUCUGACUUUGUGGGGUAGGCCCCCAGGCCCCCCCAUUCCGUUCGGGUUAAACUGGUGGUACGAGUAGGGGUUCACAGAUUGUGAGUAGGUCUGGCUCUGAUAGUACUCAUGUUGGCUGUGCCCCGUCUGUCCUCUGUAGAAACCCAUAUCUGUGGCUGAGAAGUCGGCCAAGGUUGGAGAGUCUUUGGAUGCAGGGUGGCAGCUCAUAGAGUUUGGGAUGUCAGUCAAAAUGCUGGCGAGCUGCUUUUCAAAAGCUGGUCCACUCAUUAUUGGUCGCACAGCAUCUCCUCCUUCCUGAAAGCAGACGGUCCGAGUGUGCAGUAGAUAGAGAAGGGGAAAGAGCAGUAAAGCAGGACCAAAUCCUUCAAAAAACUUCUCUGGUGAAAUUCUCUGUGCAGAACUACAUGCACUGGGGCAGCACCCAGCCGAGUAAAACUCUUCGUUAUCGAACACUGGGUGGAUUCUCUCUUCCUUUCGGCCCAGAAGAAGCCCCCCCCGCCCCCGGUAAAACAGCUCUGUGUCUCCUCCCCUGCUUCAAGCACACAACACACACAGCAGCACACAACACACACCAUCUUGCUGGUGCAAUAAUUUACUGGAAUUAUUGCCUUUCUAUCUAAGGUAAAUUCGUGUUCACCCGUAAGAUGCACAUUUGGUUUGCGUUGAGCAUACAACUGUAAUUGAGCAUAACGCUUUUUGGAAAAGGAGCCAAAGUAUCAUUCUGCCGACACAUUAUUUAUAUUAGUGGGAUGACCUUUACAGUGUGAGUCACCCUGCUACCAUGGCCUUCCUAUGUUGAGUUCAUUGUCUGUGAUUUGAUAUGUCUCCGGAACCUAUUCCCUCGGUCUAAGAGCUCGGAACAGAGUUCCGGUGGUGUUGUUGAACUGUUUUCUCUGAGCAUAUUCGGUGGAACCUGAUGAGUUGGGACUUGAUCAAUCCCUGGAAGGUGUGUUUGGGCUGGAAGCUGGAUUUGUGCGGUAGACAGUGUGUGUCAGUGCUUUUAAAGUAAACCUUGAUCUCGAGUGUUUUUAAAGCCACCUUGAGGUUUACUGUAAUGGACUGUGGUGUCCAGGAAGUUUACUUCCUGUGUGUCUCAGUGUUGUUUUAUUGUUAUUUUGGAGUGGUGUGUGUGUUCAUGAGUGUGUCAAAAUCCUCGUGGCCAUGGUGUCAGACCCUGAAAAUGUCACCCCGAUAUCUGUAGCACUGGAGUGGUCUGUUUGGGCAUUUCAUAAAUAGAGUUUUCUCCCAGUCUGCCAUGUAGAUGCUCGCGUAGACCAAGGGCACACACACACACACAUUUUCAGAACCGCUUGUCCCAUACGGGGUCACGGGGAACCGGAGCCUAACCCGGCAACUCAGGGCGUAAGGCUGGAGGGGGAGGGGACACACCCAGGACGGGACGCCAGUCCGUCGCAAGGCACCCCAAGCGGGACUCGAACCCCAGACCCACCGGAGAGCAGGACUGUGGUCCAACCCACUGCGCCACCGCACCCCCAGACCAAGGGCAAAUUUUUCUUUUUUUUUUUUAAACCCAUUGCUGUCCGCUGUAUCUGUAGACAGACUUGUUUGUUAAAUUCAGAAUUAUUCCUGAUGACACUGAUUUCCAGUAAUUGUAGGAGUUCAGUGUCUGGUCCAUUGUGGUCUGGGUACCUUAGAAUGGUGUUCUUUACUGCUGUCAGGCCCAGGUCUGUUGCAAUGUUCGUGUAUAGGCUGUUGAUAUCACUGGUGAACAGAGAUCCUACACUUCGCAGCUAGCCUGUCUUCCUGUCAUGGCCUCUCCAAGUGGGAAACUCAUUCAUUUUGCCUACUUCCUUAGCUAAGAGUCUGGGAGUGAUGCUUGACUUAAGUCUGUCUGCGCUCCAUUCUGAGCAGCAUGAUGAAAUCUCGCGCCAUUACGUCAAUCAUCCCCUUGUCCAGCGUAUCCGUGCUGUAUACGCUACCUGCCCAUUGGUCACUUAGUAGCGUUCUUAGUUUUAUUUCUUCUGCUUCUGUUAGGAAAAAACGGACUAUAUAUAGGGUUCAGUGCUAUCCACGGUUUCAGGCAUCCAGCGGGGGCCUCGGAACAUAUCUCCUGUGCAUAAGAGGGUGCAACUGUCUCUUUACGCACUAUAUUUAAUUGCACAAUUUUAUAACUUACAGUAAUUUAUUGUACUUUGAAGUAGUCUUUGAAAAUUACUGUGUGGUGUGUUUGUAUUUAUCAUCUUUUUUUGGUUUAUUGUAGUAGAGUUUUCAUUACAUAUGUGGGUGUUUUCUUACCAAUUUAAAAUUGUUUUUUAUUCGGUGUAUUUGGUUAUUUGCAUUGUUUAUAUAUCGUAUCAAAAUGUCUAAAUGGGGGAGAUGAUGUGAAAAGAGAAACAUGCAAAGAAAAUGAUAGGUAAGGUGUACAGCAACACCUUGGGAACAGGCCAGGGAACCGCCUCUCUUGUGCAGUAGAGUUGCCGGACAAGUUUAUUUGUGUCUUUUUGCCAUGGGGUAUGUUUUUUUUUGUGUGUUUUAAAGAUUCCAUCAUGUAAUGUUUACACUGCAGAGACUCAUGGACAUAGUCAGGAAGCAAGGCAAAUGGUCAGACAUCAAGAACAAACAACAGGGAACAGGAUAAAUGCUGUUAGCAUAGCAAAGCCAGAUGUCUCAAGGAGAUGUGUGGCUGAGGAGUGUCUUCUAAAGACAAGUAUGCUGAUUAGCGUCAAGCGUUUAAUCGGAGCCAGGUGCUGCCGAUUGUGGUGCGGGUGGGGAUGUGACAGUUUUAUUGUAGAUGUUUUAGUAGUGGCAUGCCACUUUUUGUUGUUUAUUUAUUGAGUAAAGAUUUUUAAACAGUUUAAGCGAUGGAUGGGGAAAUUUUCUGUGCCGCACUGGGCAGUUUGUUGCACCAGACACUUUUAAUGUUCUGGUAAUCCACUCUGAUCCAUGGGGGGGAUGAAGGUUUCAAAGAUUUGAACCUUGGGGUGCGCUUUUAAUUUGCUUUAAGUGGUUCCAAUGUUCUCAUAAUCACCAGCAGUUUGUGCUGAAAUCCAGCAACUGAAUCCCUUCAUUCUCAUCCAGGGUUGGUUUUUUUUUUUUUUAAUAGCCGUAUUCCAAGAAUGAGGAGUACAGGCUUUUUUCAGCAUGUUAUUAAUUACUGGCAUUGUAAUGACCAUUGGAGGCAAUAUUCUAAAUGACCAUAAAGGGCGCAACUUUGGACAAACCCAGCUCUAUUCGCCACACCUGUAUUCAAUCGAAGUCUUUAACAGAGUGAAGCAGAACAAUAAAAUUCACCUCAGGGGGUGGUUCUUGUCCUUU